GCAAACUUGGUCAUUUAGAGGAAGUAAAAGUCGUAACAAGGUUUCCGUAGGUGAACCUGCGGAAGGAUCAUUAGUGAUUCGGCCUCCGGGCCUUAUACCUUUCCAUACCUCUGUGAACCUGUUGGCCCUCGGGCUGCCUUUCAAACAAUGUGUAACGAACGUGAAAAUAUGAUAACCUAAUAAAACUUUCAACAACGGAUCUCUUGGCUCUCGCAUCGAUGAAGAACGCAGC
This 232-nucleotide unclassified non-coding RNA is filed under the name uncultured fungus. RNAcentral's name for it is "partial contains small subunit ribosomal RNA, internal transcribed spacer 1, and 5.8S ribosomal RNA". The stretch from base 1 to 73 matches the Rfam family "Eukaryotic small subunit ribosomal RNA", at positions 1759 to 1831 of the family's 1831-position model. Lineage: Eukaryota; Fungi. The record is from RNAcentral.